Non-coding RNA from Oryza nivara, 206 nucleotides. The record is from Rfam. NCBI's taxonomy places the organism in Eukaryota, Viridiplantae, Streptophyta, Magnoliopsida, Poales, Poaceae.
AAAAAGACAAGCUUUGGAUUUCCGUAUCCAACGUUUCACCAUCCAUUUUAUUUAAAAAAAAUAUAAAAAAAUUAAAAAGACAAGUCACGUAUAAAAUAUUAAUCAUGUUUUAUCAUCUAACAACAAUGAAAAUACUAAUUAUAAAAAAUUUUAUAUAAGACGGACAGUCAAACGUUGGAUACGAAAACUUAUGAUUUGUUUUUAUG